CGUUAUAACCGGCGAUUUCCGAAUGGGGAAACCCAGUGUGAUUCGUCACACUAUCAUUAACUGAAUCCAUAGGUUAAUGAGGCGAACCGGGGGAACUGAAACAUCUAAGUACCCCGAGGAAAAGAAAUCAACCGAGAUUCCCCCAGUAGCGGCGAGCGAACGGGGAGCAGCCCAGAGCCUGAAUCAGUGUGUGUGUUAGUGGAAGCGUCUGGAAAGGCGCGCGAUACAGGGUGACAGCCCCGUACACAAAAAUGCACAUGCUGUGAGCUCGAUGAGUAGGGCGGGACACGUGGUAUCCUGUCUGAAUAUGGGGGGACCAUCCUCCAAGGCUAAAUACUCCUGACUGACCGAUAGUGAACCAGUACCGUGAGGGAAAGGCGAAAAGAACCCCGGCGAGGGGAGUGAAAAAGAACCUGAAACCGUGUACGUACAAGCAGUGGGAGCACGCUUAGGCGUGUGACUGCGUACCUUUUGUAUAAUGGGUCAGCGACUUAUAUUCUGUAGCAAGGUUAACCGAAUAGGGGAGCCGAAGGGAAACCGAGUCUUAACUGGGCGUUAAGUUGCAGGGUAUAGACCCGAAACCCGGUGAUCUAGCCAUGGGCAGGUUGAAGGUUGGGUAACACUAACUGGAGGACCGAACCGACUAAUGUUGAAAAAUUAGCGGAUGACUUGUGGCUGGGGGUGAAAGGCCAAUCAAACCGGGAGAUAGCUGGUUCUCCCCGAAAGCUAUUUAGGUAGCGCCUCGUGAAUUCAUCUCCGGGGGUAGAGCACUGUUUCGGCAAGGGGGUCAUCCCGACUUACCAACCCGAUGCAAACUGCGAAUACCGGAGAAUGUUAUCACGGGAGACACACGGCGGGUGCUAACGUCCGUCGUGAAGAGGGAAACAACCCAGACCGCCAGCUAAGGUCCCAAAGUCAUGGUUAAGUGGGAAACGAUGUGGGAAGGCCCAGACAGCCAGGAUGUUGGCUUAGAAGCAGCCAUCAUUUAAAGAAAGCGUAAUAGCUCACUGGUCGAGUCGGCCUGCGCGGAAGAUGUAACGGGGCUAAACCAUGCACCGAAGCUGCGGCAGCGACACUAUGUGUUGUUGGGUAGGGGAGCGUUCUGUAAGCCUGUGAAGGUGUACUGUGAGGUAUGCUGGAGGUAUCAGAAGUGCGAAUGCUGACAUAAGUAACGAUAAAGCGGGUGAAAAGCCCGCUCGCCGGAAGACCAAGGGUUCCUGUCCAACGUUAAUCGGGGCAGGGUGAGUCGACCCCUAAGGCGAGGCCGAAAGGCGUAGUCGAUGGGAAACAGGUUAAUAUUCCUGUACUUGGUGUUACUGCGAAGGGGGGACGGAGAAGGCUAUGUUGGCCGGGCGACGGUUGUCCCGGUUUAAGCGUGUAGGCUGGUUUUCCAGGCAAAUCCGGAAAAUCAAGGCUGAGGCGUGAUGACGAGGCACUACGGUGCUGAAGCAACAAAUGCCCUGCUUCCAGGAAAAGCCUCUAAGCAUCAGGUAACAUCAAAUCGUACCCCAAACCGACACAGGUGGUCAGGUAGAGAAUACCAAGGCGCUUGAGAGAACUCGGGUGAAGGAACUAGGCAAAAUGGUGCCGUAACUUCGGGAGAAGGCACGCUGAUAUGUAGGUGAAGUCCCUCGCGGAUGGAGCUGAAAUCAGUCGAAGAUACCAGCUGGCUGCAACUGUUUAUUAAAAACACAGCACUGUGCAAACACGAAAGUGGACGUAUACGGUGUGACGCCUGCCCGGUGCCGGAAGGUUAAUUGAUGGGGUCAGCGCAAGCGAAGCUCUUGAUCGAAGCCCCGGUAAACGGCGGCCGUAACUAUAACGGUCCUAAGGUAGCGAAAUUCCUUGUCGGGUAAGUUCCGACCUGCACGAAUGGCGUAAUGAUGGCCAGGCUGUCUCCACCCGAGACUCAGUGAAAUUGAACUCGCUGUGAAGAUGCAGUGUACCCGCGGCAAGACGGAAAGACCCCGUGAACCUUUACUAUAGCUUGACACUGAACAUUGAGCCUUGAUGUGUAGGAUAGGUGGGAGGCUUUGAAGUGUGGACGCCAGUCUGCAUGGAGCCGACCUUGAAAUACCACCCUUUAAUGUUUGAUGUUCUAACGUGGACCCGUAAUCCGGGUUGCGGACAGUGUCUGGUGGGUAGUUUGACUGGGGCGGUCUCCUCCUAAAGAGUAACGGAGGAGCACGAAGGUUGGCUAAUCCUGGUCGGACAUCAGGAGGUUAGUGCAAUGGCAUAAGCCAGCUUGACUGCGAGCGUGACGGCGCGAGCAGGUGCGAAAGCAGGUCAUAGUGAUCCGGUGGUUCUGAAUGGAAGGGCCAUCGCUCAACGGAUAAAAGGUACUCCGGGGAUAACAGGCUGAUACCGCCCAAGAGUUCAUAUCGACGGCGGUGUUUGGCACCUCGAUGUCGGCUCAUCACAUCCUGGGGCUGAAGUAGGUCCCAAGGGUAUGGCUGUUCGCCAUUUAAAGUGGUACGCGAGCUGGGUUUAGAACGUCGUGAGACAGUUCGGUCCCUAUCUGCCGUGGGCGCUGGAGAACUGAGGGGGGCUGCUCCUAGUACGAGAGGACCGGAGUGGACGCAUCACUGGUGUUCGGGUUGUCAUGCCAAUGGCACUGCCCGGUAGCUAAAUGCGGAAGAGAUAAGUGCUGAAAGCAUCUAAGCACGAAACUUGCCCCGAGAUGAGUUCUCCCUGACUCCUUGAGAGUCCUGAAGGAACGUUGAAGACGACGACGUUGAUAGGCCGGGUGUGUAAGCGCAGCGAUGCGUUGAGCUAACCGGUACUAAUGAACCGUGAGGCUUAACCUU
RNAcentral lists this ribosomal RNA (2807 nucleotides) under Escherichia coli. RNAcentral's name for it is "bacterial LSU rRNA". It matches the Rfam family "Bacterial large subunit ribosomal RNA". Lineage: Bacteria; Pseudomonadati; Pseudomonadota; Gammaproteobacteria; Enterobacterales; Enterobacteriaceae. The record is from RNAcentral.